UGUUUCGGCUAGGGGGUCAUCCCGACUUACCAACCCGAUGCAAACUACGAAUACCGAAGAAUGUUAUCACGGGAGACACACGGCGGGUGCUAACGUCCGUCGUGAAGAGGGAAACAACCCAGACCGCCAGCUAAGGUCCCAAAGUCACAGUUAAGUGGGAAACGAUGUGGGAAGGCUCAGACAGCCAGGAUGUUGGCUUAGAAGCAGCCAUCAUUUAAAGAAAGCGUAAUAGCUCACUGGUCGAGUCGGCCUGCGCGGAAGAUGUAACGGGGCUAAACUGUGCACCGAAGCUGCGGCAGCGACACUAUGUGUUGUUGGGUAGGGGAGCGUUCUGUAAGCCGUUGAAGGUGGCCUGUGAGGGUUGCUGGAGGUAUCAGAAGUGCGAAUGCUGACAUAAGUAACGAUAAUGCGGGUGAAAAACCCGCACGCCGGAAGACCAAGGGUUCCUGUCCAACGUUAAUCGGGGCAGGGUGAGUCGACCCCUAAGGCGAGGCCGAAAGGCGUAGUCGAUGGGAAACAGGUUAAUAUUCCUGUACUUGGUGUUACUGCGAAGGGGGGACGGAGAAGGCUAUGUUAGCCGGGCGACGGUUGUCCCGGUU
This 599-nucleotide ribosomal RNA is filed under the name Kluyvera cryocrescens. Its description in RNAcentral is "partial 23S ribosomal RNA". It matches the Rfam family "Bacterial large subunit ribosomal RNA", at positions 911 to 1512 of the family's 2925-position model. The record is from RNAcentral. Lineage: Bacteria; Pseudomonadati; Pseudomonadota; Gammaproteobacteria; Enterobacterales; Enterobacteriaceae.